RNAcentral lists this ribosomal RNA (568 nucleotides) under uncultured bacterium. RNAcentral's name for it is "partial 16S ribosomal RNA". It matches the Rfam family "Bacterial small subunit ribosomal RNA", at positions 355 to 914 of the family's 1533-position model. The record is from RNAcentral.
UGGGGAAUAUUGGACAAUGGGCGCAAGCCUGAUCCAGCCAUACCGCGUGGGUGAAGAAGGCCUUCGGGUUGUAAAGCCCUUUUGUUGGGAAAGAAAUCCAGCCGGCUAAUACCUGGUUGGGAUGACGGUACCCAAAGAAUAAGCACCGGCUAACUUCGUGCCAGCAGCCGCGGUAAUACGAAGGGUGCAAGCGUUACUCGGAAUUACUGGGCGUAAAGCGUGCGUAGGUGGUCGUUUAAGUCCGUUGUGAAAGCCCUGGGCUCAACCUGGGAACUGCAGUGGAUACUGGGCGACUAGAGUGUGGUAGAGGGUAGCGGAAUUCCUGGUGUAGCAGUGAAAUGCGUAGAGAUCAGGAGGAACAUCCAUGGCGAAGGCAGCUACCUGGACCAACACUGACACUGAGGCACGAAAGCGUGGGGAGCAAACAGGAUUAGAUACCCUGGUAGUCCACGCCCUAAACGAUGCGAACUGGAUGUUGGGUGCAAUUUGGCACGCAGUAUCGAAGCUAACGCGUUAAGUUCGCCGCCUGGGGAGUACGGUCGCAAGACUGAAACUCAAAUGAAUUGAC